GACGAACGCUGGCGGCGUGCUUAACACAUGCAAGUCGUACGGUAAGGCCCUUUCGGGGGUACACGAGUGGCGCACGGGUGAGUAACACGUGAGUAACCUGCCCACAACUUUGGGAUAACGCUAGGAAACUGGUGCUAAUACUGGAUAUGUGCUCCUGCUGCAUGGUGGGGGUUGGAAAGCUCCGGCGGUUGUGGAUGGACUCGCGGCCUAUCAGCUUGUUGGUGGGGUAGUGGCCUACCAAGGCGGCGACGGGUAGCCGGCCUGAGAGGGUGACCGGCCACAUUGGGACUGAGAUACGGCCCAGACUCCUACGGGAGGCAGCGGUGGGGAAUAUUGCACAAUGGGCGCAAGCCUGAUGCAGCAACGCCGCGUGCGGGAUGACGGCCUUCGGGUUGUAAACCGCUUUCAGCAGGGACGAAGCUUUUUGUGACGGUACCUGCAGAAGAAGCACCGGCUAACUACGUG
RNAcentral lists this ribosomal RNA (465 nucleotides) under uncultured bacterium. RNAcentral's name for it is "partial 16S ribosomal RNA". It matches the Rfam family "Bacterial small subunit ribosomal RNA", at positions 28 to 507 of the family's 1533-position model. The record is from RNAcentral.